UAUUUAUUUUUGUGAUUAUUUUUAGCAGAGUACUGCCUCUGCUGCUCCAGCACAAAUGGUGCAACAACCUGGCCCUACUGUACCUGCUCAAGAUGUGAUGGAGACGAGACAACUUAAGGCCCAGCCCCAGCCCCCGUCUACUCCACCAGUGGCAUCAAAGAUUUCACCGCAAUUGUCAAUGGAGCGGUUUAAAUCAAGAUUGGCAAAUUUGCAUCAACAUCACCAAGACUGCUUUAACCGCUUUAACGAAGCAGAAAGUGAAUUAAGACAAAAGACUUGCCUACAAAAAUCAAAGCAUUGUGAGUAUUUAACCUAAUUAAUAUAUCAUUAUUUAAACCUACCACAAACUGCCAUUUGGAGGUUUAAUGGUGCAUUUUCUUUUGAAUUUUAUAUAUUCAUUCUAAUCUUCAUACUCUCCUGAACAGCGUUCAUCACCUGCAACAGCAACACUCACAUCAUCUCCAUCCUGUCCUGAGCAACCUACAUCAUGUGCAACUGCAACACUCAUGACAUCUUCAUACUCUCCUGAGCAGCGUUUAUCACCUGCAACAGCAACACUCAAAACAUUCUGUUCAGCAAAGAGUCUAUAAUGAAUUCUGUUUUGAUUCUCCUUUUACUCUUACUUCAUAAAAACAUUUUACUACAUGAAAAAAAAAAAAAAAAA
This is a non-coding RNA of Danio rerio (zebrafish), 664 nucleotides long. The record is from RefSeq and is a predicted model, not a curated record. NCBI's taxonomy places the organism in Eukaryota, Metazoa, Chordata, Actinopteri, Cypriniformes, Danionidae.